This 475-nucleotide ribosomal RNA is filed under the name uncultured soil bacterium. RNAcentral describes it as "bacterial SSU rRNA". It matches the Rfam family "Bacterial small subunit ribosomal RNA", at positions 26 to 518 of the family's 1533-position model. The record is from RNAcentral.
AGGACGAACGCUGGCGGCGUGCUUAACACAUGCAAGUCGAGCGGUAAGGCCCUUCGGGGUACACGAGCGGCGAACGGGUGAGUAACACGUGGGUGAUCUGCCCUGCACUCUGGGAUAAGCCUGGGAAACUGGGUCUAAUACUGGAUAUGACCUGUCCUCGCAUGGGGGUGGGUGGAAAGAUUUAUCGGUGCAGGGAUGGGGCCCGCGGCCUAUCAGCUUGUUGGUGGGGUAAUGGCCCACCAAGGCGACGACGGGUAGCCGACCUGAGAGGGUGACCGGCCACGACUGGGACUGAGACACGGCCCAGACUCCUACGGGAGGCAGCAGUGGGAAUAUGCACAAUGGGCAAAGCCUGAUGCAGCGACGCCGCGUGAGGAUGAAGGCCUUCGGGUAGUAAACCUCUUUCAGCGAGGACGAAGCGAGAGUGACGGUACUGCAGAAGAAGCACCGGCUAACGACGUGCCGAGCAGCCGAC